GGGUGUUUGGUCUAGUGGUAUGAUUCUCGCUUCGGGUGCGAGAGGUCGUGAGUUCAAUUCUCGCAACACCCC
Ipomoea nil (Japanese morning glory) is the source of this 72-nucleotide transfer RNA. It matches the Rfam family "tRNA". Rfam says of the family: Transfer RNA (tRNA) molecules are approximately 80 nucleotides in length. The record is from Rfam. Lineage: Eukaryota; Viridiplantae; Streptophyta; Magnoliopsida; Solanales; Convolvulaceae.